RNAcentral lists this transfer RNA (27 nucleotides) under Egernia depressa. RNAcentral's name for it is "partial tRNA-Leu". RNAcentral also lists the same sequence under 1 other name. The record is from RNAcentral. Lineage: Eukaryota; Metazoa; Chordata; Lepidosauria; Squamata; Scincidae.
CUUUUAAAGGAUCCAAGUCUAAUCCGU